This 449-nucleotide ribosomal RNA is filed under the name uncultured bacterium. Its description in RNAcentral is "partial 16S ribosomal RNA". It matches the Rfam family "Bacterial small subunit ribosomal RNA", at positions 338 to 795 of the family's 1533-position model. The record is from RNAcentral.
CCUACGGGGGGCUGCAGUGGGGAAUAUUGGACAAUGGGGGGAACCCUGAUCCAGCCAUGCCGCGUGUGUGAAGAAGGCCUUUUGGUUGUAAAGCACUUUAAGCGAGGAGGAGGCUACCGAGAUUAAUACUCUUGGAUAGUGGACGUUACUCGCAGAAUAAGCACCGGCUAACUCUGUGCCAGCAGCCGCGGUAAUACAGAGGGUGCAAGCGUUAAUCGGAGUUAGUAGGCGGACAGCUCACGUAGAUGGGAAAUCCCCGAGCUUAACUUGGGAAUUGCAUUCGAUACUGGUUGGCUAGAGUAUGGGAGAGGAUGGUAGAAUUCCAGGUGUAGCGGUGAAAUGCGUAGAGAUCUGGAGGAAUACCGAUGGCGAAGGCAGCCAUCUGGCCUAAUACUGACACUGAGGUGCGAAAGCAUGGGGAGCAAACAGGAUUAGAUACCCUUGUAGUC